AGGGCCGGGAAGGGCGCAUGCGCAGUGGCAGCGACGAAAGUUUAGUGAGGCGGCGCCGCGCGGCGCGAGGCGGGUCUAGAGGCUCUCGUUUUUCCCGCUCGUUUUCCGGGGAUCCCCCGCGGUGGGACAGUGAGCAGUUCAGGACGCCUCAGCCGAGGUCUUCCUCCAGGUUCCCCAUCUGGAAAAUGGGACCAUCAGCCUCACUCGCAAGGCUCAUGGGAGGGUCCCGGACACCCUGGAGUUGUUUUCUACUCACCUGCUAUGAAUCUGUCAGCAAAUCCUUCGGACCUGGCCUUGCCUCCAAAAUACAGCCCAGAUCCACGCUUUCUCCCCAGCCAGGCUGUCACCACCCUAGGCCACAUCGUCCCUAUCUGUCUCAUGGAAGACUUGGACAGUCUCAUGGAAGACUUGGACUUUGCUGCAUUCUUUGGAAGCCCCAGGCUCUGUUCUGCCCAUGGCCGCAGGCUGAGGAGUCUUUUAAAAAUGUAACCAGCCUGAUGCGGUAGCUCACCCCUGUAAUCCCAGAACUGUGGGAGGCCAAGGUGGGAGGAUCUCUUGAGCUCAGUUCAAACCCAGCCUAGAAAACAGAGCAAGACCCCAUCUCUACAAAAACACAAAAAUUACCCGGGUGUGGUGGUGCAGGCCAGCUACUCGGGAGGCUGAGGCAGGAGGAUCACAUGAGCCCAGGAGGUUGAGGCUGCAGUGAGCUAUGACAACAGUGCCACUGCCACCAUCCUAGGGACAGAGCAAGAACCCCCCCCAUAUAUAUAGAUAUAAAUACUUUGUUUUUAUCUACAUACAUAUAUACACACACAGAUAUAUACAUACAUAUGUGUGUAUAUAUUUGUGUGUGUGUGUGUAUAUAUAUAUACACACAUAGACUGAAAACAGAAAUAUCAAGGCCACUCAGUGCUUCCAGAGGGCUCUCAGCUGAACUUGGAAUAUCCUAAACCUUUUAUUCAGGCUUAUGAAGUCCCCUGAACUUGGCUCCCACGCCCCACUUUGUUUCCCCUUGCUCAUUGCUGUUCAGCCAUGUGGGUCUUUCCGUCCUUGGAGCACAAGCUCAUUCCAGCCUAAGGGCCUUUGUACUUGCUGAUUUCUCUGCCUGGGACCUUGUAUUUCAGGUCUUACCUAGGUUUGAGUCCCAGCUCUGUACCUUUUUGAGUAUGAUCUAAAAGAGAGUGAGGAGUACUACAAUCUGUGGUCCAGAUAUAGCCUAUGAACUAAAAAUGGUUCCUCCCUCCCUCCCCUUGUUCCCUCCCUCCCUUUCCUUCCCUUCCCUUUCUUUUAUUUAUUUUGGAGUGUCUGUUGCCCACGCUGGAGUGCAGUGGUACAAUUUUGACUCACUGCAACCUCCGCCUCCCGGGUUCAAGUGAUUCUUCUGCCUCAGCCUCCUGAGUAGCUGGGAUUACAGCUGUGUGCCGCUAUACCCAGCUAAUUUUUGUGUGUUUUUUUAUAGAGACAGGGUUUCACCAGGCUGCUCUCAAACUCCUGACCUCAGGUGCUUCACCCACCUUGGCCUCCCAAAGUGCUGGGAUUACAGGCAUGAGACACCACGCCCUCUGACUUUUUACAUUUUUAGCUGGUUGGGAAAAAAAAAAUACCAAAAGAAGAAUAUCUCUUGAUGUGAAAAUGGUGUGAAAUUUACAUUUCAGUGUCUGUAAAUAAAGUUUCAUUUGCAAACAGCCAUGCUUACUCAUUUAUAUAUUAUCUCUGGCUACUUUUGAGCUAUGACAUUAGAGCUAUUUACAUGGUUGUUAUACUUUUCUGAACAGCCAGUGGGAUGUGGUAAAUAUUUAACAACAGCUUCUCUGGAGGAGAAUGUAUUUGUUAGUAUGUAUUUAUGUGUGUGUAUAUAGUUUAUUGUAAAUUUUACUGAUUUUUCUAUCACUUCCUUAAGACCACAAGACAAUUAAUAAAACAAAUUGAACCCUGA
Macaca mulatta (Rhesus monkey) is the source of this 1936-nucleotide non-coding RNA. Lineage: Eukaryota; Metazoa; Chordata; Mammalia; Primates; Cercopithecidae. The record is from RefSeq and is a predicted model, not a curated record.